This is a long non-coding RNA of Monomorium pharaonis (pharaoh ant), 963 nucleotides long. RefSeq lists it as uncharacterized. The record is from RefSeq and is a predicted model, not a curated record. Lineage: Eukaryota; Metazoa; Arthropoda; Insecta; Hymenoptera; Formicidae. The transcript has 2 exons.
GUUUCCUCGGUGGCAGAGAAUCGCGUCAUGCCUAAGCCCUACGUUCGAUUAUUGGUAACGGACGACUUUUUCUAUUCAUAUUAAAAUAAGUUGUUGUCGUACAUGCCUCUCAAAGUGAAAUUCAUGCUUCCUUCCACCCGUCGUACCGGCUGUCAUCCAAAUUUUUCGCCGUGCGUGAAAUUCCUUUCGCGCGCAGCCGCGAGCGCCGUGCCACGACCUGAUUUCGCGCUCGCAUCUAGGUCGUACACUUUAACUUGACGAAGCGGGUUAUAUCGCGAAUUAUACGCAGCACCGUUUCACAAUUGACAAUCAUGCCGUACCAGCCAACUAAUAAGCAUAGAUGGCACCCCUCUCGACUCUGUACAGUGAUUUCAGCGCGUUAUGGAAGUAGUGGAGAUCGCGGUUAAGUCUUUCUACGAUUGUUCAUGUAGUCGCAGUAAUGGAUAAUUGGCCGGGUCAAACGAGGAAGAGUUGAGAGAGUUUAUUCCGGGAGGCAUUGUCCUAAAGUCGUACGACUGGCGGAUGAUGGUUGAUAUAAUUGGUAUAAGCAUCAAAAUUUCGUUUGUCGCGCGAUUCUGCUCGUGACGUCUGUCGGGGGAUUAUUCCGCGUUGAUACGGACGACUGUCUCAGUCGAGAUUUGAUCUCCUUGCGAUCCGAGAGAACACGAGCGCUUUGUGAGGGAGGAAAGACGUGAUUAGACCGCGUAGCUCUGCAAGAGAGAUCUAAGGAAGAGAUCGGUGUGUAGACGCUACGCCACGAGAAAGAGCCUUGGUAUCGUCCAAUUCCUGACGUAUGCAACCACCUUGAUGGAUCCACCCUUUGCGCUUCAACCCAGCUUUGCAUUACGGGGGUGACUGUGGGAGGAAAGCCGAGGAAGAACGAUGGGAGGCGAGUCCAUUGUGGGACUGGCGAGAAUCGAACGGAUAAAACGAGGAAAAGCCGAAGGCUCGAAGAGAUGCUGC